This is an RNA transcript of Rosa rugosa (rugosa rose), 2238 nucleotides long. RefSeq lists it as uncharacterized. The record is from RefSeq and is a predicted model, not a curated record. Lineage: Eukaryota; Viridiplantae; Streptophyta; Magnoliopsida; Rosales; Rosaceae. The transcript has 5 exons.
GCGAAAUUCAUAGUUUCCCAAACUUACACAGCCUCGAACCUCAAACUGCCAGCAACAUGAACUCCACCUUCGAUCGACAACUACUUCAUCUCCUCAAACCUCAAACUACUACAUCAUCAUCUCUCUAAUCUCUUCUUUCCACUUCUCUACCCCAGCAGCCCAGUCUCAAAAUCAUCCUAAAUCACCAGCACCAAACUCCUUCAUCUUGGGUUUUCGAUCGAUCAGGUAAAGUUUUAAUUUUUCUCUUCUUUUCUUUUUAUAAUUUGAUUUUUUUCAAUGGGUAUUCUCAAUUUUCAAUUGUAAUUGUGUUUUGAUUACAAUAUACCAGUUGAGACGAUGGGUUCUUAUACUGGUAAGAAAACAAUGGAUAAUUGUUUGAGAUAUGAAUUCUUGAUUGCUGUUGACUUUUCAAUUUCAGUGUUGUUAAUUUUUGAGAUAUCAUCUCUCCGAUUUUGGUUUUAUAUUAAUUGAGUUUUUGUUUUUGUUUUCUCACCCAUUUAGAAUAUUACCCGUUAUGCAAAGUCUUUAUAGUUAUAGUUCAACCUUUUUACCAGUUAACUUGUAGGGUGACUAGCUUGUUUAUUGGUUUCCAAUUCUAACUUAUGACUAGCGUGAUCUUGAAGAUAUUGUUUUUUAGUAGUCCGGUCGAAUCAAGUUUUCAACCUAGUUGCUUUCAUUAGCUCGAUCGGUCUAACAUGUUAACGAGUAAUGUCUAGACGACAUGGACAGACUUAUGAGUGUGGCCUGCAGGUUUUGCUUCUAUAUUUUCCUGUUAUCUUGGGUAAAUGGGUAAAACUUAAUUACAGUUAUUAUGCAUUCCUUGUUAUAAGCAACAUGCAUGGUUGAAGUUGAAAUUAAUCUAAGAACGAUUCUUUAAGCAACCAUCCAAACAUUGUUCAUGAAUUGUUAAUGUAAGAUUUUCUAUGAUCAUUAAUUCUAGAUUGAAUUCAUUGUAGAGCAGAGCGAGUGGAAGCGAUCACUCCCCUCAUUUUCUACAUGUGACCGAAGUUUACCGAUUCAUUUUUCGUUUCAGAAUGUAUGUUUUAUUCGAGUAUAAACAUAUUGAUGCUCCAUAGAUUGUCUAAAACAAAUUGAAAUUGGCACGUCUUGUUUAUUUAACAUAUGCACGUCUUGAUGGAAUUGUUGGGGGUGGUUGAGUUUUAUGUAGAGAGAUGAGCCCAGGUUUAAAUAUAUUUGAAUUUCAUGUGGUGGGUAGUGAUGGCUUCAGGAACUAAUUGUUAAUAUAGGGAAGUGACUGUAAGUGGUUCUUUAUAUAUAUUACUUGGACUUCUAAUAACCAGAGGAAAGGUUAUUGAGAGGUAUGGGGUUCUAGGAUACAGUUUUGUAUGGAAAAUCCAAAGCAUUACUUUGUGCUAAGCAGAAACAUAAAAUUGUUCUCAUGGUCUCAAUUGUCACUCGUACUAUUUUCAAUCUAUGUUGAAGUUUACAGUUUGUGUCUUUAUAUAUUCCAUGAAAAAGGGAAGCAGAAUCGCAUCAGAAAGCAUUAUCCGGAUUGGAUACUAGUGAUUGUUGAAAGUGCUGAAAAGAGUGAUGCAACUGAUCGAUAUUGAGAAGAACAAGUUUUGUUGAGCUCACUUCAAUCCAAAGUUGCUUUAGUAUUACACAAAAGGUGUCGAGAAAGGUAAAAAUGUGUCUUUUGUUGAGAAUUGGAGCACUAUGCAUCAACAUCAUGACGGUCAGUGGAUCAACGAAGCAGCUGAACAAACUGGGGUUAGCUUUUGUUAUAAAGAUUUUCAAUAGUUGGAUAUCUUGGCAAAUGGCGUUGGGGUUGCAAAGGGUAGAGGCAUUCGGGGUCUGGGCUAUGGUCCACGGAAGGAACCCGUCCAUUAUUCUGAGAGUGAUAAAUCUGCAAAUGCUUCUAUGACAGAACAAAAGGUAAUUGAGCUGACAGCCACGGUGGAAAAGCUUUUGAGGCAUAUCAAUCACAUAGAAGAGCAACUUGCUACUGUUGAAGGGUAUACUAUUCAUCAUUCCAGUGAUGAUGAUGAUUAUGAUGAUUAUGAUGAUGGGGAUGAUGAUGAUGUGAAUAUCUAUGGGGAUGAAGAUGAGGGUGCAGACUAGCUAUUAGGACCUUAAUGUUGUUUUCCGAUGGAACUUUAGUUUUAUAUUAUUAAAACUAGAAAACUUGAUUUCGCUAGCUACUGUCUAUGUAGAAGUGUAGAAACGCAAAACUUCACUUUCUCAGUUAUGUACUAUCUUUCAUUUAUUCAAUGCAAU